GUGCCAGCAGCGGCGGUAAUACGGAGGGUGCAAGCGUUGUCCGGAUUUAUUGGGUUUAAAGGGUGCGUAGGCGGGUCUUUAAGUCAGUGGUGAAAGCCCACAGCUCAACUGUGGAACUGCCAUUGAUACUGGAGGCCUUGAAUUCAGUUGAGGUAGCGGAAUUGAUGAUGUAGCGGUGAAAUGCAUAGAUAUCAUCAAAGAACACCGAUUGCGAAGCCAGCUUACUGGGCUUGAAUUGACGCUGA
RNAcentral lists this ribosomal RNA (245 nucleotides) under uncultured Marinoscillum sp. Its description in RNAcentral is "partial 16S ribosomal RNA". It matches the Rfam family "Bacterial small subunit ribosomal RNA", at positions 505 to 749 of the family's 1533-position model. The record is from RNAcentral. Lineage: Bacteria; Pseudomonadati; Bacteroidota; Cytophagia; Cytophagales; Reichenbachiellaceae.